GCGCGCGAUACAGGGUGACAGCCCCGUACACAAAAAUGCACAUGCUGUGAGCUCGAUGAGUAGGGCGGGACACGUGGUAUCCUGUCUGAAUAUGGGGGGACCAUCCUCCAAGGCUAAAUACUCCUGACUGACCGAUAGUGAACCAGUACCGUGAGGGAAAGGCGAAAAGAACCCCGGCGAGGGGAGUGAAAAAGAACCUGAAACCGUGUACGUACAAGCAGUGGGAGCACGCUUAGGCGUGUGACUGCGUACCUUUUGUAUAAUGGGUCAGCGACUUAUAUUCUGUAGCAAGGUUAACCGAAUAGGGGAGCCGAAGGGAAACCGAGUCUUAACUGGGCGUUAAGUUGCAGGGUAUAGACCCGAAACCCGGUGAUCUAGCCAUGGGCAGGUUGAAGGUUGGGUAACACUAACUGGAGGACCGAACCGACUAAUGUUGAAAAAUUAGCGGAUGACUUGUGGCUGGGGGUGAAAGGCCAAUCAAACCGGGAGAUAGCUGGUUCUCCCCGAAAGCUAUUUAGGUAGCGCCUCGUGAAUUCAUCUCCGGGGGUAGAGCACUGUUUCGGCAAGGGGGUCAUCCCGACUUACCAACCCGAUGCAAACUGCGAAUACCGGAGAAUGUUAUCACGGGAGACACACGGCGGGUGCUAACGUCCGUCGUGAAGAGGGAAACAACCCAGACCGCCAGCUAAGGUCCCAAAGUCAUGGUUAAGUGGGAAACGAUGUGGGAAGGCCCAGACAGCCAGGAUGUUGGCUUAGAAGCAGCCAUCAUUUAAAGAAAGCGUAAUAGCUCACUGGUCGAGUCGGCCUGCGCGGAAGAUGUAACGGGGCUAAACCAUGCACCGAAGCUGCGGCAGCGACGCUUAUGCGUUGUUGGGUAGGGGAGCGUUCUGUAAGCCUGUGAAGGUGUACUGUGAGGUAUGCUGGAGGUAUCAGAAGUGCGAAUGCUGACAUAAGUAACGAUAAAGCGGGUGAAAAGCCCGCUCGCCGGAAGACCAAGGGUUCCUG
Molecule: ribosomal RNA, 1005 nt
Filed under: Shigella flexneri
Lineage: Bacteria; Pseudomonadati; Pseudomonadota; Gammaproteobacteria; Enterobacterales; Enterobacteriaceae
Description: partial 23S ribosomal RNA
Rfam family: Bacterial large subunit ribosomal RNA
Source: RNAcentral